AUACCUUUCUCGGCCUUUUGGCUAAGAUCAAGUGUAGUAUCUGUUCUUAUCAGUUUAAUAUCUGAUAUAUGAGUCAUUGGCUCAUUCGAUAUUAAUCUUAUUUUUUAUGGGGAAAGGCUCAUCACAAUAUAGCUUGCUAUUGGGGGGGUUUUUGAGCGUUGCCUUGGUUUGUCACUACUGCCUUGUAAAUAAAAGUUUA
This is a non-coding RNA of Helianthus annuus (common sunflower), 199 nucleotides long. The record is from Rfam. Lineage: Eukaryota; Viridiplantae; Streptophyta; Magnoliopsida; Asterales; Asteraceae.